RNAcentral lists this transfer RNA (72 nucleotides) under Nematostella vectensis (starlet sea anemone). It matches the Rfam family "tRNA". Rfam says of the family: Transfer RNA (tRNA) molecules are approximately 80 nucleotides in length. The record is from Rfam by way of RNAcentral. Lineage: Eukaryota; Metazoa; Cnidaria; Anthozoa; Actiniaria; Edwardsiidae.
GGCUCAGUGGUCUAGUGGUAUGAUUCUCGCUUUGGGUGCGAGAGGCCGCGGGUUCCAUUCCCGUCUGAGCCC